GCCAGCAUCCUAGCCGAAGCGCGGACCUCAGUCCCGGCUGGCCGUAUUACACCCUGGGCUAUAACACCUCCACCGAAGUGGAGGCCACAUUCCCAGAGCCUUUAUCCGGCCGCCGAAACUGAUGCUGGCCUGUCCAAACUGAGUAAACCGGUCAGAAGACCGGCCGAACAGUUUAAACAAGUCUGAUUGCAAGCGCUUCCCUUUCAACAAUUUCACGUGCUUUUUAACUCUCUUUCCAAAGUGCUUUUCAUCUUUCGAUCACUCUACUUGUGCGCUAUCGGUCUCUCGCCAAUAUUUAGCUUUAGAAGAAAUUUACCUCCCAUUUAGAGCUGCAUUCCCAAACAACUCGACUCGUCGAAGGAGAUUUACAUAGGGUGCCAUUUCCUGUCACAUACGGGAUUCUCACCCUCUAUGACGUCCUGUUCCAAGGAACUUAGACAGGCGGCUUCCCCAAAUCAUCCUCUACAAAUUACAAUGCGAACCCGAAGGCUAGCUUUCAAAUUUGAGCUGUUGCCGCUUCACUCGCCGUUACUAGG
Molecule: ribosomal RNA, 536 nt
Filed under: Aureobasidium proteae
Lineage: Eukaryota; Fungi; Ascomycota; Dothideomycetes; Dothideales; Saccotheciaceae
Description: partial 26S ribosomal RNA
Source: RNAcentral